Molecule: ribosomal RNA, 170 nt
Filed under: Cycas rumphii
Lineage: Eukaryota; Viridiplantae; Streptophyta; Cycadopsida; Cycadales; Cycadaceae
Description: 5.8S ribosomal RNA
Rfam family: 5.8S ribosomal RNA
About the family: 5.8S ribosomal RNA (5.8S rRNA) is a component of the large subunit of the eukaryotic ribosome.
Source: RNAcentral
UGCAGAAAUGCACGACUCUCGGCAACGGAUAUAUCGGCCCNGNCCACGAUGAAGAACNUAGCGAAAUGCGAUACAUAGUGUGAAUUGCAGAAUCCCGUGAGUCAUCCAGUCUUUGAAUGCAAGUUGCGCCCGAGGCUUCGAAUGAGGGCACGUCUGCCUGGGUGUCGCAC